Molecule: ribosomal RNA, 268 nt
Filed under: uncultured bacterium
Lineage: Bacteria
Description: partial 16S ribosomal RNA
Source: RNAcentral
CUGCUGCCUUCCGUAGGAGUUUGGGCCGUGUCUCAGUCCCAAUGUGGCCGUCCACCCUCUCAGGCCGGCUACUGAUCGUCGCCUUGGUGGGCCGUUACCCCGCCAACAAGCUAAUCAGACGCGGGUCCAUCUUACACCACCGGAGUUUUUCACACAAAUCCAUGCGGCUUCGUGCGCUUAUGCGGUAUUAGCACCUAUUUCUAAGUGUUAUCCCCCAGUGUAAGGCAGGUUACCCACGCGUUACUCACCCGUCGCCACUAAGAUUUUA